GAAGAAUCCUUUAUAGACGACUUAAAUAUGUGACGGGGUAUUGUAAGUGGUAGAGUGGCCUUUCUACCACAAUCCACUAAGAUUCAUCCCUUUGUCGCCUCAAUUU
Molecule: non-coding RNA, 106 nt
Organism: Picea glauca (white spruce)
Lineage: Eukaryota; Viridiplantae; Streptophyta; Pinopsida; Pinales; Pinaceae
Source: Rfam